RNAcentral lists this ribosomal RNA (700 nucleotides) under anoxygenic photosynthetic bacterium C27. RNAcentral's name for it is "bacterial SSU rRNA". The record is from RNAcentral.
UUGUGCAUCGCGUCUACCAUGCAGUCGACGGACUAACGGUCAAGGAGACACUGCGGCACACCGCCUGAGUAACCUGCUGUAUAUCACCCAAUAACAUCGGGACACCGAUUGUAAUCCAGUGUAUCUCCCGCAUGAGAAAUAUUGACCGCCUACAUCAGAUGCCAAUUAUGAUUGCCUAAUCUUGGUGGCAUUGGUGAAACAAACGAGAUGAUCCUUAGCUAGGUGUGAGAGGAUGAUCAACCACACUGCGACUGAUACACUCCCCAGACACCUAAUGACAGGCCCAGUGGGGAAUAUUACACAGUCCGGACACCCCUGAUCGCCCCAUGCGGCGUGACUCACGAACGGCACACGUUUGUAAAGCACCUUUGGCGAGUACUAUAAAAAGGGCACCCGAUUAAUAAGCCCCGGCUACCUGCAUGAAAACGGCCUUCGUAAUACAAAGGUCGCUAGCACUGUACGAAAUCACGAGUCCUCAAUCAUACGCCAGCCGGAUUGGAUACGUCAGGAGUAACAUCCCGAUGGCUCAACCGCAAUAAUUGCCUUUGAUACUGUCUGUCGUCAACUUCAUCAGACGUUGUUCGGACUUCCUAGCGCAUACGCGAGUUGAAAAGAUUUCUUUAAACCUCCAGGGCUCAACCCCGGCCAGCAAUCCCAAUCCUUACUCUCAUGUACGAAAACGUUGGGAGCAACCCCCAUU